UUUCAUAUCUGUAUGAUAAUC
RNAcentral lists this non-coding RNA (21 nucleotides) under Caenorhabditis elegans. Lineage: Eukaryota; Metazoa; Nematoda; Chromadorea; Rhabditida; Rhabditidae. The record is from RNAcentral.